Non-coding RNA from Pelobates cultripes (western spadefoot toad), 369 nucleotides. Lineage: Eukaryota; Metazoa; Chordata; Amphibia; Anura; Pelobatidae. The record is from the annotation of a GenBank genome assembly.
CUAUAUUAGACUUUUCAAGGACAUCCCAAGAGUACUCAAAAAAAUUGCAAUGCUUGGGCAACCCUCGUGGGCUGCCAACUGGGUGUGCCAGCCAUCCUGGAGUAGAUUAAUGCUUUAUCACCGGUACCAAUUUGAGUUGCUCACAUGCCCUCACACUGCCCUAGUCUUCAUAUCUCCUAAUUCAUCCCAACUGUCUUCACACAUGAAGAAUUCCAACGUGAUGGCAGCAUUAUGGCAUGACAGAUAGACCAGAGCCAUUACGGUUUUCCUGUAUGAAUCCCCUUUAAUGCCUACACAAGCUAGCCAUCACCUAACGAAUUAUUACAAGCAUCUAAUUUAUAUCACCAUCAUUAAUAUGACAGAGAAUUA